Molecule: ribosomal RNA, 606 nt
Filed under: uncultured bacterium
Lineage: Bacteria
Description: bacterial SSU rRNA
Rfam family: Bacterial small subunit ribosomal RNA (bases 1-534)
Source: RNAcentral
CCUACGGGAGGCAGCAGUGGGGAAUUUUGGACAAUGGGCGCAAGCCUGAUCCAGCCAUGCCGCGUGCGGGAAGAAGGCCUUCGGGUUGUAAACCGCUUUUGUCAGGGAAGAAAUCCUUUGAGAUAAUACCUCGGAGGGAUGACGGUACCUGAAGAAUAAGCACCGGCUAACUACGUGCCAGCAGCCGCGGUAAUACGUAGGGUGCGAGCGUUAAUCGGAAUUACUGGGCGUAAAGCGUGCGCAGGCGGUCUUGCAAGACAGAUGUGAAAUCCCCGGGCUCAACCUGGGAACUGCAUUUGUGACUGCAAGGCUAGAGUACGGUAGAGGGGGAUGGAAUUCCGCGUGUAGCAGUGAAAUGCGUAGAUAUGCGGAGGAACACCGAUGGCGAAGGCAAUCCCCUGGACCUGUACUGACGCUCAUGCACGAAAGCGUGGGGAGCAAACAGGAUUAGAUCGCCCUGGUAAGUCCACGCCCUAAACGAUGUCACUGUUGUGACGNUGCUGUCAGUACGAGCUAACGCGUGAGUCGACCGCGUGGGGUGUGCGCGAGUUAGUUAGUAGAAGAGUUAGNGGNGNGAGAGNGCGACGGACGACGACGAGGAGGAGG